GAAAAGGAUGCUUUAGAGACUCUACGCCUCUAAUAGGAAGAAUGAGAUGUGUAUUUGACCGAACUAAAAGGAGAAUGAGAGAUCUCUCCGGGUCGGCACGGGCAUCGAAAGUCUACACCACAGAGCUGAUCUAAAUCACAUCGAUCGAGAGGUUCUCCCGAAGGAAAGAACUCACGCGUGCCACACUCCCGAGACCUUGAUAAGGGACGGGCGCGGUCUGAACGACGUCAAUAGAUGGCCUCACUGAAGUAUAUAUGAUGCCCCCAAAUCCGAGUAACUUCAAACCUGGGUUUAGUGCUCCACGAUACUACCCAUUCAACACAAUCUUAAAGACAUAAAUGUAAUUACUAAAUUAUUACAAUACGUCUUUCUCUAAAUUCCAGGUUCUAAGGCCUUUACAUCUUCAAAAGCUAAUAUUAUAUCAUAAUAUUACAUCAAUACUAAAUUAUUAUGAAUAAAGUACAACGUCUUCUACUUGUUCAUCUUUCCUUUAUCUUUACCGGAACCUUCAAUCCAUUCUGGUUUCGCUGAAAACAUUUAACUUAAAGCAAGAAUGAGCAUUCAAUUGCUUAACAAGUAUAACAUUUGAAUUAUUAACAACAAAAUCAAGAAUCAUAUCAUCUUUCUCUAAAAACUUCAACAACUAAACAAUAGUUGUAAAACAUUAGAAUAACUAAGAAUAAUACUUCCCUUUCAUUCAAUAUUUUUGAAACGAUAUACUGAAAGGUCAUAAGACCUUGAACUUUUCUUUUUGUAAAGAUUUAACAGUAAUUUAAUUGUAAACCUUUUUACUUAUGGGCACGUUAGGUGAUCAUCCUAUUAUACCCUAUGUUGUACAAUAUAAUAUUUUAAACAAUUAUAUGCAUUUAUUUUGACCGCCUCACGGGUCUGCCGGGAUUUUUGACUAAAAUUCCCUAAUAUUAAGGUUGUUCAUCUCAUACUUCAUCUGAAUCCACACCAAAAAAAUUUAGUUUGGAUAGCUCUACUUAAUAUCAAUAAUAUUUCAAAGAUUUAUUAUCAAAUCGAUAAAACAUUUCAAUAUCCGUCAAGCUGGAACAAAUGACAACGACGUACUUCUUAAAAAGUUCUUGAAUAAAAGAACUCUAAAGCUUAACAAUUUGCAAUAUAGCAUAACUUGAACAACUUGUACAAAUACUAAAAGAUUUGCAUAAAUUUUGGAAUUUACACAAUAUACAAACAUUGCAAAAAUUAGAACUUCAAAACAUCAUAUAACAUUCAUAAAAACAUAAGUCGAAUGAAGUCAAAAAACUUGCUCAAUUACGAAAAAUUAAACAAGAGUUAGAAAAUUGCCUUAAAUAUUCUUUAUAGUUUACGUUAAUUCCCUCUUCAAAUAGCUUACACAAUUCAAUUAACAAUAACACACUAAUUAGCCAAAUAAUGACCAUUUAUAUUGUUUUACUUUAUCUUAUUUCUUAUUCCAUGUUAUUCGUAUUUUACAAAUUAAGCAACGUGAUCUAACUUUAAUAAUGUCGCUCGGCGUUGUGGGGUUUGGGAACAACACGACCCACAUAACUAUCCUCUACGAUAGUUUACUUUCACUUUUACAUAAUAUGUUACACGACUUUAUUUAAAAUAACACAAUUGAAUCUCAAAAGCAUCGAAAGGCAUCGCGAAAUGGCAUGGUGACACACCAGCGGCAUGCCCGUGCACAACCCCAUGGCUUCACAGCCCAUGCGCCCAGCAGCACUUGGCGUUCCCACUCCAUGAGCAACAAUAACACCCCAUGCCGCGCCCGCCCGCACUUCCCACAACCUUGAACAUGCGCCAAGACACUCCCUGCUCUUCACUUCGGUACUUGGAACACUGUAAGACAAGAGUUGCGGCACAUAAAAUAGGUGCUGCGGCGCUUACUCGGCAGAAGCACUUUUUCAACUUUCUCAAAAUUUUUCAGUUUUGAUGCUCAAACUUUCGAGCUUCAUAACUCGCUCACCCGAAGUUAGAAUGAGUUCGUUCUUGAGCCUAUGACUCACUUAUUCAGCGUACUAUCAAACCCCCAGAAAAUCAAUAUUUUUCGAAAGCGUUAGCUACCCAUAAAAUUGGACCGAAUGUUAUACCAACCUAGGAUUUUGCCAUUUUAACAUAAUUUACUAAAAAUUUUGUCAUAACUUCGUUAUAGCGUAUUUUUACUUCAUUCCAUUUGACUUAUUUUCAUAACUCACAUACACAUAUUUCCUUCUUUCAUAAUUAAAAAAUGACUCACACACAAAGAAUUAUACUAGUCCGAUUAACAAUCCAUUACAAAGUUUUCGACCAUCCUUUACGCAUAGGUUUCCUUUUCAUUUUCUGUUCACUUUUCAUGAAAAUUACCAAUGAUUUAACAUAUAUAAACCAUCGCAACAUCUUUAUUCCUCUGGAUCCUUCAUGAUCCUCAAUCAAACUUUAACAACCAAAACCAACAAGCUAAUUAAAAAGAUUUAAAAAGAUGAAUGAUAAUUAGGUUUUAAAGGUUACCUUCUUUGGUUCUCUUCUUGUUCUUUCUAAUGGAUGAUAAAUUAACUUGAUAGCUCAUCUUCCUUCUUCUUACCUCAAUAUCCACCCACUCUCUCUCUUUCUCACUACUCUCAAGUUCUUGCUCUUACUUAGCAAAUUUGGAUGAAAUGAAAUGACUAAGUGAUGGAUGGAUGAUGAAUUGGUAUAUAUAAAAUGACUUUUCAAGAAUCACAAAUUUUUCACUCAACUCUGUCCUUACUAUUCCACCCCCUCAACUCUCUUACUUCUACUAACCCUCCUCUAGGGUUACCUUAAUCAACCUCAAUUCGGCUAACCAAGGGUGGAAAAAUGAUUAAAAACUAAGGUAAAUGGAAAGUUUAGCUUCCUUUUUGACUCAUCCCACAACUGAAUUCCUCCCCCUUUUGUCCUCCUUUUGGCUUUUU
Molecule: long non-coding RNA, 2894 nt
Filed under: Panax ginseng (ginseng)
Lineage: Eukaryota; Viridiplantae; Streptophyta; Magnoliopsida; Apiales; Araliaceae
Description: long non-coding RNA (PGIN_LNC005678)
Source: RNAcentral